AAUAGAUACCCUGGUAGUCCACGCCCUAAACGAUGUCAACUAGUUGUUGGGGAUUCAUUUCCUUAGUAACGUAGCUAACGCGUGAAGUUGACCGCCUGGGAGUACGGUCGCAAGAUUAAAACUCAAAGGAAUUGACGGGGACCCGCACAAGCGGUGGAUGAUGUGGAUUAAUUCGAUGCAACGCGAAAAACCUUACCUACCCUUGACAUGGUCGGAAUCCUGCUGAGAGGCGGGAGUGCUCGAAAGAGAACCGGCGCACAGGUGCUGCAUGGCUGUCGUCAGCUCGUGUCGUGAGAUGUUGGGUUAAGUCCCGCAACGAGCGCAACCCUUGUCCUUAGUUGCUACGCAAGAGCACUCUAAGGAGACUGCCGGUGACAAACCGGAGGAAGGUGGGGAUGACGUCAAGUCCUCAUGGCCCUUAUGGGUAGGGCUUCACACGUCAUACAAUGGUCGGAACAGAGGGUUGCCAAGCCGCGAGGUGGAGCCAAUCCCAGAAAACCGAUCGUAGUCCGGAUCGCAGUCUGCAACUCGA
Molecule: ribosomal RNA, 532 nt
Filed under: uncultured bacterium
Lineage: Bacteria
Description: bacterial SSU rRNA
Rfam family: Bacterial small subunit ribosomal RNA
Source: RNAcentral